Molecule: ribosomal RNA, 1447 nt
Filed under: uncultured organism
Description: SSU rRNA
Rfam family: Bacterial small subunit ribosomal RNA
Source: RNAcentral
GCUUAACACAUGCAAGUCGAGGGGCAGCAUGAUUUGUAGCAAUACAGAUUGAUGGCGACCGGCGCACGGGUGAGUAACGCGUAUGCAACUUACCUAUCAGAGGGGGAUAGCCCGGCGAAAGUCGGAUUAAUACCCCAUAAAACAGGGGUCCCGCAUGGGAAUAUUUGUUAAAGAUUCAUCGCUGAUAGAUAGGCAUGCGUUCCAUUAGGCAGUUGGCGGGGUAACGGCCCACCAAACCGACGAUGGAUAGGGGUUCUGAGAGGAAGGUCCCCCACAUUGGUACUGAGACACGGACCAAACUCCUACGGGAGGCAGCAGUGAGGAAUAUUGGUCAAUGGCCGAGAGGCUGAACCAGCCAAGUCGCGUGAAGGAAGAAGGGUCUAUGGUUUGUAAACUUCUUUUAUAGGGGAAUAAAGUGGAUGACGUGUGCCUUUUUUGUAUGUACCCUAUGAAUAAGCGUCGGCUAACUCCGUGCCACCCGCCGCGGUAAUACGGAGGAUGCGAGCGUUAUCCUGAUUUAUUGGGUUAAAAGGGUGCGUAGGUGGUGAUUUAAGUCAGCGGUGAAAGUUUGUGGCUCAACCAUAAAAUUGCCGUUGAAACUGGGUUACUUGAGUGUGUUUGAGGUAGGCGGAAUGCGUGGUGUAGCGGUGAAAUGCAUAGAUAUCACGCAGAACUCCGAUUGCGAAGGCAGCUUACUAAACCAUAACUGACACUGAAGCACGAAAGCGUGGGGAUCAAACAGGAUUAGAUACCCUGGUAGUCCACGCAGUAAACGAUGAUUACUAGGAGUUUGCGAUACAAUGUAAGCUCUACAGCGAAAGCGUUAAGUAAUCCACCUGGGGAGUACGCCGGCAACGGUGAAACUCAAAGGAAUUGACGGGGGCCCGCACAAGCGGAGGAACAUGUGGUUUAAUUCGAUGAUACGCGAGGAACCUUACCCGGGUUUGAACGUAGUCUGACCGGAGUGGAAACACUCUUUCUAGCAAUAGCAGAUUACGAGGUGCUGCAUGGUUGUCGUCAGCUCGUGCCGUGAGGUGUCGGCUUAAGUGCCAUAACGAGCGCAACCCUUAUCACUAGUUACUAACAGGUGAAGCUGAGGACUCUGGUGAGACUGCCAGCGUAAGCUGUGAGGAAGGUGGGGAUGACGUCAAAUCAGCACGGCCCUUACAUCCGGGGCGACACACGUGUUACAAUGGCAUGGACAAAGGGCAGCUACCUGGUGACAGGAUGCUAAUCUCCAAACCAUGUCUCAGUUCGGAUCGGAGUCUGCAACUCGACCCCGUGAAGCUGGAUUCGCUAGUAAUCGCGCAUCAGCCAUGGCGCGGUGAAUACGUUCCCGGGCCUUGUACACACCGCCCGUCAAGCCAUGGGAGCCGGGGGUACCUGAAGUCCGUAACCGCAAGGAUCGGCCUAGGGUAAAACUGGUGACUGGGGCUAAGUCAUAACA